This 796-nucleotide ribosomal RNA is filed under the name Arthrobacter sp. 68F56. RNAcentral's name for it is "bacterial SSU rRNA". It matches the Rfam family "Bacterial small subunit ribosomal RNA", at positions 54 to 867 of the family's 1533-position model. Lineage: Bacteria; Bacillati; Actinomycetota; Actinomycetes; Micrococcales; Micrococcaceae. The record is from RNAcentral.
CAUGCAGUCGAGCGGUAAGGCCUUUCGGGGUACACGAGCGGCGAACGGGUGAGUAACACGUGGGUGAUCUGCCCUGCACUUCGGGAUAAGCCUGGGAAACUGGGUCUAAUACCGGAUAUGACCUCCUAUCGCAUGGUGGGUGGUGGAAAGAUUUAUCGGUGCAGGAUGGGCCCGCGGCCUAUCAGCUUGUUGGUGGGGUAAUGGCCUACCAAGGCGACGACGGGUAGCCGACCUGAGAGGGUGACCGGCCACACUGGGACUGAGACACGGCCCAGACUCCUACGGGAGGCAGCAGUGGGGAAUAUUGCACAAUGGGCGAAAGCCUGAUGCAGCGACGCCGCGUGAGGGAUGACGGCCUUCGGGUUGUAAACCUCUUUCAGCAGGGACGAAGCGCAAGUGACGGUACCUGCAGAAGAAGCACCGGCUAACUACGUGCCAGCAGCCGCGGUAAUACGUAGGGUGCAAGCGUUGUCCGGAAUUACUGGGCGUAAAGAGUUCGUAGGCGGUUUGUCGCGUCGUUUGUGAAAACCAGCAGCUCAACUGCUGGCUUGCAGGCGAUACGGGCAGACUUGAGUACUGCAGGGGAGACUGGAAUUCCUGGUGUAGCGGUGAAAUGCGCAGAUAUCAGGAGGAACACCGGUGGCGAAGGCGGGUCUCUGGGCAGUAACUGACGCUGAGGAACGAAAGCGUGGGUAGCGAACAGGAUUAGAUACCCUGGUAGUCCACGCCGUAAACGGUGGGCGCUAGGUGUGGGUUCCUUCCACGGAAUCCGUGCCGUAGCUAACGCAUUAAGCGC